UCGAGCGGUACAGAAAGUAGCUUGCUACUUUGCUGACGAGCGGCNNNCGGGUGAGUAAUGCUUGGGAACAUGCCUUGAGGUGGGGGACAACAGUUGGAAACGACUGCUAAUACCGCAUAAUGUCUACGGACCAAAGGGGGCUUCGGCUCUCGCCUUUAGAUUGGCCCAAGUGGGAUUAGCUAGUUGGUGAGGUAAUGGCUCACCAAGGCGACGAUCCCUAGCUGGUUUGAGAGGAUGAUCAGCCACACUGGGACUGAGACACGGCCCAGACUCCUACGGGAGGCAGCAGUGGGGAAUAUUGCACAGUGGGCGCAUGCCUGAUGCAGCCAUGCCGCGUGUGUGAAGAAGGCCUUCGGGUUGUAAAGCACUUUCAGUCAGGAGGAAAGGUUAGUAGUUAAUACCUGCUAGCUGUGACGUUACUGACAGAAGAAGCACCGGCUAACUCCGUGCCAGCAGCCGCGGUAAUACGGAGGGUGCGAGCGUUAAUCGGAAUUACUGGGCGUAAAGCGUACGCAGGCGGUUUGUUAAGCGAGAUGUGAAAGCCCCGGGCUCAACCUGGGAACUGCAUUUCGAACUGGCAAACUAGAGUGUGAUAGAGGGUGGUAGAAUUUCAGGUGUAGCGGUGAAAUGCGUAGAGAUCUGAAGGAAUACCGAUGGCGAAGGCAGCCACCUGGGUCAACACUGACGCUCAUNNNNNAAAGCGUGGGGAGCAAACGGGAUUAGAUACCCCGGUAGUCCANGNCGUAAACGAUGUCUAC
Molecule: ribosomal RNA, 758 nt
Filed under: uncultured bacterium
Lineage: Bacteria
Description: bacterial SSU rRNA
Rfam family: Bacterial small subunit ribosomal RNA
Source: RNAcentral